AAUAUUUCACAAUGGAGGAAACUCUGAUGCAGCGACGCCGCGUGAACGAUGAAGGCUUUCGGGUCGUAAAGUUCUGUCGUAGGGGACGAUAAUGACGGUACCCUAGGAGGCAUGCCCGGCUAGCUACGUGCCAGCAGCCGCGGUACUACGGAGGGGCCGAGUGUUGUCCGGAAUUAUUGGGCGUUAAGGGUUCGCAGGCGGUCUGUUAAGUCAGAUGAGACAGAUCGCGGCUCAACCGUGGUAAGCAUUUGAAACUGGGGGACGUGAGUUAUGGAGGGGAAAGUGAAAUUCCUAGUGUAGCGGUGAAAUGCGUAGAUAUUAGGAGGAAUACCAGUGGCGAAGGCGACUUUCUGGACAUAUACUGACGCUGAGGAACGAAAGCGUGGGGAGCAAAC
Molecule: ribosomal RNA, 395 nt
Filed under: uncultured bacterium
Lineage: Bacteria
Description: partial 16S ribosomal RNA
Rfam family: Bacterial small subunit ribosomal RNA
Source: RNAcentral